AGAGUUUGAUCCUGGCUCAGGAUGAACGCUAGCGACAGGCUUAACACAUGCAAGUCGAGGGGCAGCACGGGUAGCAAUACCCGCCGGCGACCGGCGCACGGGUGAGUAACGCGUAUGCAACUUACCUAUCAGAGGGGGAUAACCCGGCGAAAGUCGGACUAAUACCGCAUGAAGCAGGGGCCCCGCAUGGGGAUAUUUGCUAAAGAUUCAUCGCUGAUAGAUAGGCAUGCGUUCCAUUAGGCAGUUGGCGGGGUAACGGCCCACCAAACCGACGAUGGAUAGGGGUUCUGAGAGGAAGGUCCCCCACAUUGGUACUGAGACACGGACCAAACUCCUACGGGAGGCAGCAGUGAGGAAUAUUGGUCAAUGGGCGUAAGCCUGAACCAGCCAAGUCGCGUGAGGGAUGAAGGUUCUAUGGAUCGUAAACCUCUUUUAUAAGGGAAUAAAGUGCGGGACGUGUCCCGUUUUGUAUGUACCUUAUGAAUAAGGAUCGGCUAACUCCGUGCCAGCAGCCGCGGUAAUACGGAGGAUCCGAGCGUUAUCCGGAUUUAUUGGGUUUAAAGGGUGCGUAGGCGGCCUUUUAAGUCAGCGGUGAAAGUCUGUGGCUCAACCAUAGAAUUGCCGUUGAAACUGGGAGGCUUGAGUAUGUUUGAGGCAGGCGGAAUGCGUGGUGUAGCGGUGAAAUGCUUAGAUAUCACGCAGAACCCCGAUGGCGAGGGCACCCUGCAAAGCCAUGACUGACGCUGAUGCACGAAAGCGUGGGGAUCAAACAGGAUUAGAUACCCUGGUAGUCCACGCAGUAAACGAUGAUCACUAGCUGUUUGCGAUACACUGUAAGCGGCACAGCGAAAGCGUUAAGUGAUCCACCUGGGGAGUACGCCGGCAACGGUGAAACUCAAAGGAAUUGACGGGGGCCCGCACAAGCGGAGGAACAUGUGGUUUAAUUCGAUGAUACGCGAGGAACCUUACCCGGGUUUGAACGCAUUUCGACCGCUCUGGAAACAGAGCCUCUAGCAAUAGCGAUUUGCGAGGUGCUGCAUGGUUGUCGUCAGCUCGUGCCGUGAGGUGUCGGCUUAAGUGCCAUAACGAGCGCAACCCUUGCCACUAGUUACUAACAGGUAAAGCUGAGGACUCUGGUGGGACUGCCAGCGUAAGCUGCGAGGAAGGCGGGGAUGACGUCAAAUCAGCACGGCCCUUACAUCCGGGGCGACACACGUGUUACAAUGGCGUGGACAAAGGGAAGCCACCUGGCGACAGGGAGCGAAUCCCCAAACCACGUCUCAGUUCGGAUCGGAGUCUGCAACCCGACUCCGUGAAGCUGGAUUCGCUAGUAAUCGCGCAUCAGCCAUGGCGCGGUGAAUACGUUCCCGGGCCUUGUACACACCGCCCGUCAAGCCAUGGGAGCCGGGGGUACCUGAAGUCCGUAACCGCGAGGAUCGGCCUAGGGUAAAACUGGUGACUGGGGCUAAGUCGUAACAAGGUAGCCGUACCGGAAGGUGCGGCUGGAACACCU
RNAcentral lists this ribosomal RNA (1513 nucleotides) under Parabacteroides distasonis str. 3776 D15 i. Its description in RNAcentral is "bacterial SSU rRNA". It matches the Rfam family "Bacterial small subunit ribosomal RNA". The record is from RNAcentral. Lineage: Bacteria; Pseudomonadati; Bacteroidota; Bacteroidia; Bacteroidales; Tannerellaceae.